UGUGGCAGCAGUAAGGCUGCGUGACUUCUGAGGCUGGCUCAUAAGGGCUCUGUGAUGCAGGUUCUACCCUGCUCUCCUUAGCCAUUUGCUCUGGGUGAAAGCCAGCUGCCCUGCAGGAGGCUGCAAUACUGAGGCUGCCAUGCUGUCAGGAGGCCCAGGCCACAGUGGGGGGCCACAGGUUCUGGGGUGGCUCGUGAGUGACAGCAGUACUGGUAUGCUGGUGAGUGCCUCAGCAGGAGCUCCCUCUGUCCCCCUACCAACUCCCCGAUGUCUGGACGGCACCAGAGCCCGCCUGGGAGGCCACGAGCUAACACUCUCAAGAGGAAAACAGGGGGAUCAAACCAAUGACCCAAGGGCCUACAGCUAAGAACUGCUGGAGCCAGGCUCUGAACUGAGCUCUGCCUGACUCCAGAGGUGGUUUCUACCACCAGGCAAUACAACAGGGAGACACGCAGGUGUGUCAGAGAGCAGUCCUCACAGUGCGAGCACAGAAACCAGAGGCCAAGGCUGAAGAUUUUCCUGGACUCGCGGUGCUGCCCAGGAAUCUUCUGAGAAAACCUGUCAGUUGGUAAAGCCACGUGGAGGCGGGGCUAACAAAAUCUGGAAAUGUCUUCACCAGUUCCAAAGUACACACAAACAUUACUUGCCCUCUCUGGGGGUCAACGUUCUUUAUGAUUUUUUUCUCUCCAGGAAAAUAUUAGUUCAUUUAUAGAAACUAAACAUUACAUGUGGAGGGAAAAUGGAAAACGUGGCAUUCUUGGCCUUUUUUCUCCACAGACACAGAAACUGAGAAGGUUUCUCCAUUUCCUUUCUCACAGCCUAUUUGUUGGUGUGGAACUGCCUGUGAAGUCAUUCUGCAGGGGUGGAAAGUGGGGGCCAGCUCUCUGUGGGCAACAGGGACCAUCCCAGAGACAAAGGGCAGCCUCAGCCCACAGACCACUUCGGACUUGAAUCAAGGCCUCAAAGGGCGAGACCUGGGCCACUGUCAAUGUGAGGGCAGGUAGGCUGGGUAGAGGGGUAGAGGCGUGGGCGCUGCCUAGAAGAGGGCCAGAGAGACCGCCCGGCACAUUGGUCUUGCUCCCACUGCCUCCUUUCAGCUCCUCAGUGUACCCAUCCUUGCCCCUGGCAGCUUUUGCUGCCUGGUUCCCCGACUAAAAUGUGAGCUUUGUGGGGAAGGUUCUUGCCUUGCUGGGCACCUGGCUCACAGCAAGUCCUUGGCCUGGAAGUCUUGGGUGAAUGAAUGAAUGAACAUGUCUUAGGGCCUCUCCUUUGCAGGUGUGGGGGAUGUGCCUACUGGAAAGGGCACCGAGCUGAAGCCUAAACCCCCUCCUGAGGAGCCAGGGAAGCCUGCGUUCCUCCCAUUCCCGGGACUGCAAGAGGCACAUUCCUGUCCCUGAGUCUGGUCAGGCUCCUGCCACGCAGCUCAGUCUGGCUGCCAGGUCCAGAAAGGCCUCCCUGGAGCUGCCCCUCUGGCCCCACCCUUCCCAGGACCCCAGGCCACCCCACAGCUGCAGCAGCACCCACUCUCUGUCUUCUGAGGCUGCUAGUGGGAAGCUGGGACCCCCGAGUGUGUCUGAAACCUUCCAGGCACUCCUCGACCCUCUAGUGAUCAAUGAAAACCUUCACAUCCUGCUUCCAGGGCUGAAGCCAGGGAUUUGGAAAAUUGGUGGAAAACACUCCUAUGAGCUGGGGCUUGCUCUGCUGUGGAAAACUGCCAGCAUCAGCACUUCUCCCAAGGCUGUGCCGAGUCAGCAGUCAGCCCACUCUGGAGCUGCCUCUGAGGACCAGGUGCCUACAGGACCCUGUAAGGAGCUUGAAGAGUUGUGGCUGACGGAGGGAUUUCUGUCCUGGGCUCUAGGAAUUCUAGACUGGGCCCUUCCUCAAGGAGCUUUCAGUCUGGCGGAGCAGACAGACAUGGGCAAAUAAGCCCACAACUAACUGUGCCAUCACUGCAGAAGGAAGUGCCACGGAGGAGCAUGAGGGCCAGUUGCAGGAAGGAGCCAGGGCCAGCAUGUGCCUGUAAAAGCCAGAUAGUAAAUAGUUCACGCUCUGCAGGCCACAGGGUCUUUGUCCCAAGCACUCAACUCUGCCACUGCUGCAUGAAAACAGCCACAGGCGAUAUGUCAACCAAAGAGGGGUGGUUGUGCCCAUAUGAAAACAGAGGGUGGAUCUGUCCCACAGUUUGCCACAGCCUGGCUGUUAGACGGCCUGACCUGAUUGGGGGUGGGGGUGAUAGUGGGGAGAAGGCUUCCCCGAGGCAGUGAUAUUUAGCUAAAAGCUGCAGGCUGAGGCAAUGAUGGAGGCAGAAUCACAAUAUGACAAUUAUGAUAAUCACAUCACCAUGAUCAAGUUCCACCUAACACGUGUGUUCUAUGUUGCGCACUGUGCUAAUAACAACACUACCCUGUGAAGGAGGAAGAUUUUAUGCCCACUUUACAGAUAGAGACACUGAGGCUUGGCAGUAUGCUGAGUAGUCUGUUCACACAAUUCAGCUGCAUUUUUUGC
Molecule: long non-coding RNA, 2505 nt
Filed under: Homo sapiens (human)
Lineage: Eukaryota; Metazoa; Chordata; Mammalia; Primates; Hominidae
Description: HSALNT0155495
Source: RNAcentral